RNAcentral lists this ribosomal RNA (468 nucleotides) under uncultured bacterium. RNAcentral describes it as "partial 16S ribosomal RNA". It matches the Rfam family "Bacterial small subunit ribosomal RNA", at positions 28 to 507 of the family's 1533-position model. The record is from RNAcentral.
GAUGAACGCUGGCGGCGUGCUUAACACAUGCAAGUCGAACGGUGAAGGCGGAGCUUGCUCUGCUGGAUCAGUGGCGAACGGGUGAGUAACACGUAAGCAAUCUGCCCCUGACUCUGGGAUAAGCGCUGGAAACGGCGUCUAAUACUGGAUACGAGCUGCGAAGGCAUCUUCAGCAGCUGGAAAGGACUUUGGUCAGGGAUGGGCGCGCGGCCUAUCAGCUUGUUGGUGAGGUAGCGGCAGACCAAGGCGUCGACGGGUAGCCGGCCUGAGAGGGGCACCGGCGACACUGGGACUGAGGGACGGCCCAGACGGGUACGGUAGGCAGCGGUGGGGAAUAUUGCACAGUGGGCGAGAGCCUAAUGCAGCGGCGCCGGGUGAGGGAAGACGUCUUUCGGGUUGUAAACCGCUUUUAGCUGGGAAGAAGCGAUAGUGACGGUACCUGCAGAAAAAGCGCCGGCUAACUACGUG